RNAcentral lists this ribosomal RNA (464 nucleotides) under uncultured bacterium. Its description in RNAcentral is "partial 16S ribosomal RNA". It matches the Rfam family "Bacterial small subunit ribosomal RNA", at positions 339 to 795 of the family's 1533-position model. The record is from RNAcentral.
CUACGGGUUGCUGCAGUGGGGAAUAUUGGACAAUGGGGGCAACCCUGAUCCAGCAAUGCCGCGUGUGUGAAGAAGGCCUGCGGGUUGUAAAGCACUUUCAGUGGGGAGGAAAGGCGCUCGGUGAAUAGCCGAGCGAGAUGACAUUACCCAUAGAAGAAGCACCGGCUAACUCCGUGCCAGCAGCCGCGGUAAUACGGAGGGUGCGAGCGUUAAUCGGAAUUACUGGGCGUAAAGCGCACGUAGGCGGUGAAUUAAGUCAGAUGUGAAAGCCCCGGGCUUAACUUGGGAAUGGCAUUUGAAACUGGUUGACUGGAGUGCAGUAGAGGGGAGUGGAAUUUCCGGUGUAGCGGUGAAAUGCGUAGAGAUCGGAAGGAACACCAGUGGCGAAGGCGACUCCCUGGACUGACACUGACGCUGAGGUGCGAAAGCGUGGGUAGCAAACAGGAUUAGAUACCCUGGUAGUC